ACCUAUUCUGCAUCUCACAAAGACACGGCAACCAAACAACCAAAAAACCACCAAGAAACACAACAAAAUCUACAAAGGUGUCUGCAUGGAGAGAGUCUCCUCCAUGAAUGGGGAAGUGGUGUAUUUAUCCUGGGAGACACCGGGCCCAGGUGUGUCUGCAUGGAGAGAGUCUCCUCCAUGAAUGGGGAAGUGGUGUAUUUAUCCUGGGAGACACCGGGCCCAGGUGUGUCUGCAUGGAGAGAGUCUCCUCCAUGAAUGGGGAAGUGGUGUAUUUAUCCUGGGAGACACCGGGCCCAGGUGUGUCUGCAUGGAGAGAGUCUCCUCCAUGAAUGGGGAAGUGGUGUAUUUAUCCUGGGAGACACCAGGCCCAGGUGUGUCUGCAUGGAGAGAGUCUCCUCCAUGAAUGGGGAAGUGGUGUAUUUAUCCUGGGAGACACCGGGCCCAGGUGUGUCUGCAUGGAGAGAGUCUCCUCCAUGAAUGGGGAAGUGGUGUAUUUAUCCUGGGAGACACCGGGCCCAGGUGUGUCUGCAUGGAGAGAGUCUCCUCCAUGAAUGGGGAAGUGGUGUAUUUAUCCUGGGAGACACCGGGCCCAGGUGUGUCUGCAUGGAGAGAG
Molecule: long non-coding RNA, 613 nt
Organism: Oncorhynchus keta (chum salmon)
Lineage: Eukaryota; Metazoa; Chordata; Actinopteri; Salmoniformes; Salmonidae
Exons: 3
Source: RefSeq, a predicted model, not a curated record